RNAcentral lists this ribosomal RNA (1265 nucleotides) under Dicranocephalus alticolus. Its description in RNAcentral is "16S ribosomal RNA". The stretch from base 824 to 1195 matches the Rfam family "Archaeal large subunit ribosomal RNA", at positions 2150 to 2716 of the family's 2987-position model. The record is from RNAcentral. Lineage: Eukaryota; Metazoa; Arthropoda; Insecta; Hemiptera; Stenocephalidae.
UUAAUUUUUUAUUUAAUUUAUUUUUUAGUUUUGAUUUUUUUAUUGAAUUAACUUGAUUUUUAGUAAUUUUUAUUGAAAUUAUUAUUUUAUUUAUAGUUUAUUUUACUGUGAAGGAUAAUUAUUUAUUUUAUUUUAAGUAUACUUUUUUUGUAGUACCUUUUGUAUCAGGGUUUAUUAAAUUAAAAUUAUUUAUUUAUAAUUUUCCCGAAACUUAAAGAGCUAUAAUAAUAUGUUAUUUUAUGUAUCAUAAUAAUUGAUAAUAUUAUUAUAGAGGUUAUAUGCUAUUCAAUUUAAGAUAUCUGGUUUUUUGAUAAAUGAAUUUAAUUCAUAAUAAUUUAGUUAUUUCAUAAUUUUAUUUGUUAUAAUUAAAUUAUUUAAUAUUAUUGGGGAUUAGCUCAUUAAUAAUAUUAUAAUUGGUUUAUUUUGAAUUAUUGUAGGCUUAGUAACAGCCAUCAUUUAUUUCGUUAUAGUUUAUAUUCAUUUUAUUUUUAUUUAUUAUUAAUUUAAUUUUUUAUCAAAAUUUGUGGUUUAAUUAUUAAUCUUUAUAAAUAAUGAUAAAAUUAGUAGUUUUUUUAUUUUGAAUAUUGGAACUCGGCAAAUAUUAUCUUCGCCUGUUUAACAAAAACAUGUUCUGAAGUUUUAUAUUUUAGAUUUGACCUGCCCAAUGAUUAAUUAUUGAAUGGCUGCAGUAUUUUAACUGUACAAAGGUAGCAUAAUCAUUUGUCUUUUAAUUGGAGGCUAGAAUGAAUGGUUGGACGAGGGAUAUACUUUCUUUAUUUAAAAUAGAUGAAUUUAAUUUUUUAGUUAAAAAGCUUAAAUUUAAUUGCUAGACGAGAAGACCCUAUAGAAUUUUAUUUUUCUAUUAAUAUUUAUUAUUAUGAUAUUUUUGGAUUUAUAUAUAUUAAUAGAAAAAUUUUGUUGGGGUGACAGUGAAAUUUAAUUAACUUUCAUUAUUUUGAUUUCAUUAAUUAGUGUUUUGUUGAUCCUGUAAUAUGGAUUAUAAGAUUAAAUUACCUUAGGGAUAACAGCGUAAUUCUUUCGGAGAGUUCAUAUCGAUGAAUUGAGUUUGCGACCUCGAUGUUGGAUUAAAAUUAGUGCUGGGUGCAGUAGUUCAGUUGCUAAGUCUGUUCGACUUUUAAAUUUUUACAUGAUCUGAGUUCAAACCGGCGUGAGCCAGGUUGGUUUCUAUCUGCAAUUUUUAUUUAAUAUUUUAGUACGAAAGGACCAUAUAUUUAUAAAAUUUAUUAUUUAUUGAUAACUAUUAA